UACGGGGGGAGCAAGCGUUGUUCGGAUUUACUGGGCGUAAAGGGCGCGUAGGCGGCCACCGCAAGUCGACUGUGAAAUCUCCGGGCUUAACCCGGGAAGGUCAGCCGAUACUGCGGGGCUAGAGUGCAGAAGGGGCAACUGGAAUUCUCGGUGUAGCGGUGAAAUGCGUAGAUAUCGAGAGGAACACCUGCGGCGAAGGCGGGUUGCUGGGCUGACACUGACGCUGAGGCGCGAAAGCUAGGGGAGCGAACGGG
RNAcentral lists this ribosomal RNA (254 nucleotides) under uncultured bacterium. RNAcentral's name for it is "partial 16S ribosomal RNA". It matches the Rfam family "Bacterial small subunit ribosomal RNA", at positions 524 to 776 of the family's 1533-position model. The record is from RNAcentral.